RNAcentral lists this ribosomal RNA (1293 nucleotides) under Escherichia coli. RNAcentral's name for it is "partial 23S ribosomal RNA". It matches the Rfam family "Bacterial large subunit ribosomal RNA", at positions 232 to 1569 of the family's 2925-position model. The record is from RNAcentral. Lineage: Bacteria; Pseudomonadati; Pseudomonadota; Gammaproteobacteria; Enterobacterales; Enterobacteriaceae.
AGAUUCCCCCAGUAGCGGCGAGCGAACGGGGAGGAGCCCAGAGCCUGAAUCAGUGUGUGUGUUAGUGGAAGCGUCUGGAAAGGCGUGCGAUACAGGGUGACAGCCCCGUACACAAAAAUGCACAUAUUGUGAGCUCGAUGAGUAGGGCGGGACACGUGGUAUCCUGUCUGAAUAUGGGGGGACCAUCCUCCAAGGCUAAAUACUCCUGACUGACCGAUAGUGAACCAGUACCGUGAGGGAAAGGCGAAAAGAACCCCGGCGAGGGGAGUGAAAAAGAACCUGAAACCGUGUACGUACAAGCAGUGGGAGCCUCUUAAUGGGGUGACUGCGUACCUUUUGUAUAAUGGGUCAGCGACUUAUAUUCUGUAGCAAGGUUAACCGAAUAGGGGAGCCGAAGGGAAACCGAGUCUUAACUGGGCGUUAAGUUGCAGGGUAUAGACCCGAAACCCGGUGAUCUAGCCAUGGGCAGGUUGAAGGUUGGGUAACACUAACUGGAGGACCGAACCGACUAAUGUUGAAAAAUUAGCGGAUGACUUGUGGCUGGGGGUGAAAGGCCAAUCAAACCGGGAGAUAGCUGGUUCUCCCCGAAAGCUAUUUAGGUAGCGCCUCGUGAAUUCAUCUCCGGGGGUAGAGCACUGUUUCGGCAAGGGGGUCAUCCCGACUUACCAACCCGAUGCAAACUGCGAAUACCGGAGAAUGUUAUCACGGGAGACACACGGCGGGUGCUAACGUCCGUCGUGAAGAGGGAAACAACCCAGACCGCCAGCUAAGGUCCCAAAGUCAUGGUUAAGUGGGAAACGAUGUGGGAAGGCCCAGACAGCCAGGAUGUUGGCUUAGAAGCAGCCAUCAUUUAAAGAAAGCGUAAUAGCUCACUGGUCGAGUCGGCCUGCGCGGAAGAUGUAACGGGGCUAAACCAUGCACCGAAGCUGCGGCAGCGACACUAUGUGUUGUUGGGUAGGGGAGCGUUCUGUAAGCCUGUGAAGGUGGCCUGUGAGGGUUGCUGGAGGUAUCAGAAGUGCGAAUGCUGACAUAAGUAACGAUAAAGCGGGUGAAAAGCCCGCUCGCCGGAAGACCAAGGGUUCCUGUCCAACGUUAAUCGGGGCAGGGUGAGUCGACCCCUAAGGCGAGGCCGAAAGGCGUAGUCGAUGGGAAACAGGUUAAUAUUCCUGUACUUGGUGUUACUGCGAAGGGGGGACGGAGAAGGCUAUGUUGGCCGGGCGACGGUUGUCCCGGUUUAAGCGUGUAGGCUGGUUUUCCAGGCAAAUCCGGAAAACCAAGGCUGAGGCGUGAUGA